ACCCCAUUUAUUUGAACUUUUUUAAUUUAUUGUCUAAUGUGUAUGCACAUCUUGUUUUCUUGUGAUGUUUAUAAAAGCGAUCACUUAAGUAUUAAAAUAGGCAAUCUUAUUAGACGUCAACCAAUCCUGUCUAAAGAUGUAGAUUCCACUACUAAACAUAGUAGCCCUUUUAGUCCAACUAGAAAUUUGAUUAGGGAUGAAGAGAAUUGGAGACAAAUCAUACCUGAGGUUGACUAAUCUUUCUUGAAAAUAUCA
Molecule: long non-coding RNA, 255 nt
Filed under: Elaeis guineensis (African oil palm)
Lineage: Eukaryota; Viridiplantae; Streptophyta; Magnoliopsida; Arecales; Arecaceae
Description: long non-coding RNA (EGUI_LNC009233)
Source: RNAcentral